Molecule: long non-coding RNA, 224 nt
Filed under: Trifolium pratense (red clover)
Lineage: Eukaryota; Viridiplantae; Streptophyta; Magnoliopsida; Fabales; Fabaceae
Description: long non-coding RNA (TPRA_LNC005408)
Source: RNAcentral
CAUUUUUAUUUUUCUGUUGAAUCUUCUUCGUCUUCUUCGUAAUUGAUUGAAUUUGAGGGUUUAACUCAGUAAAUUAGGGAUUUCAUUUGUUCGAAUUCUUUUUUGUUUUGGGGGAUGGCGGGAAACAAAUUUUCGCUUCUUCUAGAUACGCACUCACUACUACUGUUCUCUUCUCUGGUUUCUGUGUAUAUUUUUCUUGUGAACAUUUUAAAAAUACUCAUUUC